AACAUAUAACAGUGAUAAAGAGCUAAAGAUCCCAUUCAGUCAUGAAUGACCAUAGCUUUGCACCUAUAAAGUUAUCUUCCAAGGCACAAGCCUGGGCAAGGUUGUUUAUGGAAGACCAGCAGUCGCCCAUGCAUGCCAGCCUCCCUUCUCCAUGCAACCAAAGUUAUCCAAGGGAAAGGCAAAGGGGCCGAUACAG
Molecule: long non-coding RNA, 196 nt
Organism: Octopus sinensis (East Asian common octopus)
Lineage: Eukaryota; Metazoa; Mollusca; Cephalopoda; Octopoda; Octopodidae
Exons: 3
Source: RefSeq, a predicted model, not a curated record